Triticum aestivum (bread wheat) is the source of this 3261-nucleotide long non-coding RNA. RefSeq lists it as uncharacterized. The transcript is spliced from 6 exons. The record is from RefSeq and is a predicted model, not a curated record. NCBI's taxonomy places the organism in Eukaryota, Viridiplantae, Streptophyta, Magnoliopsida, Poales, Poaceae.
UGCUUUUGUUUCGCUGGUAGGCUUUCCUUCCCAUACACGCUUCUUCCUCUUUUGUCUCUCUGUCUCUUUCAUUUUUCCUCCUUUCAACUAGGUUGCGGCAGCCGCCGCCGCCACCGCCGCUGCCCCAUCGCCCCUCUGGCGCUGCCGACCGGAGAAAGGCCUGCUUCUCCUCAGGGUCUUCACUUUUGUGGCUAAUCUGAUAGGAAGGGCGGCGCUGCUCCUUCCUCGACAGCAAGGCGGGUGUCCCGCGCGCUCGGCAGCGAGGGAGAGGCUGCCACCUCUCCUCACCUCCUCCCAUGUUCCCAGCUCGACCGCCACCAUGAGCUCACCGGAGGCCAGCGCGGCCGUGCCGCCCGCCGACUCGGAGCCGCCGCCGCCGCCGUGGGAGCCCAUCAGUGGGGCGCGCGUCGAUCUGCCGCCCAACCCGGAGGACGCGCUCGAGGUGUUCGUCGACGGCCAUACCGUGCGGAUCCCCAAUGGCUUCUCCGUUCUCCAGGCCUGCGAGGUCACGGCAUCGACAUCCCGCGCUUCUGCUACCACUACCGCCUCUCCAUCCAAGCAUGGCGAGCCUCCCCCUCCGAGGUCCUGGCUGCCGGCCUCCUAGCACGGUGGACCUCCCCCAUCAUCAUUCUCUGAUUUAGAGGCUACAGCUUCCGACACUCCGAUCUUCUGCAGCGGCUGGCGGUCGUGUCAACUCACUGCUUAUCUCGUCCAUCUCCAAGCCUCCAAUAUGUUAAGUCCUCAAUUCCUCUUCCUCAGUUCCUCAUGUUGUCAAUCUAUCGUGGUUAGAUUGAGUUUCAAAAAGGAAAAGCCUUGUGUUGAUUGAGAUUCAAAAUGAAAUGGAAAAAGCUUGGUUCAAUUUUGGUUGACGUGGUUCCUUACAUGUAUUCAUGGGCAGAUAUAACUUAAAUGUAUGUUUGUUUUUUUACAAUAGAAGGCUAGCAAGAUAUAUUUAUCAGGAUCGGUGCCUAAUAUGCACUAUGGAUGUUUAAAUUUGAUUGCCGCUGGGUGCUGUAGCAUGUAGACUGAAGUCUGAAAUGUUGUUCUUAUGUAUUUUGGGUGACGAAUUUGAUGCUUAUGUUAAAUUUUUGGGGGUUUCUUGGGGGAAGAAAAUAGUGGAAGUUAAUUUAUUGGCAUCAGUUAGCAGUUAGCACUGCUGGUUUAGGAUCUUCAUCGUGAACGUCUUUAGCUAAUGGCUUUGCUAUUUGAUCAUGGGGAGAGUGCCAGAGAGCAUAAUAUUAGGCUUCUUCUUGGGAUAAUAAUAGUAACAUGAGUUUGAUCUUAUUUGCAUGGCAAAUGAUGAGUGCAAGGAAGGAAAGGUGCACAUGAUCAACGCUGAAGAUGUCUUCAAGGCGCUCUAUGAGAUUGAGUUCCCAGAGUUUGUUGAGCCCCUGAGAACUGCAUUGUAAGGUUGGUAGUUGCAUAACUUGAACCAUGAUGCUUUCUUGCCACUGCUGUAGUCUCUAAUGGAAUUGCGAGAUAAUUUAGUUAAGAUAAUCUCAUUGGUCUGCACUCUCAAAAAAUCAGAAGAGCCAUUUAGAAAAAGACUUGCAGAGUUUUUUGUUGUUGAAAUUUCGUCCACAUGAGGUCGUCCUCCUCUCUGGUUUUGCUGAUUCCGACGGCGUCGGCUAGACCUACAGGAUAUCUGUGGCAUUUGUUCUUAUUAGGGUGUCAAUGCUGGCGAUGAAAAGAUUAUUAAUGCUCUUAUUUGGGUGUCAAUGCUGGAAGCUGCUCAUGAGAAAUGUAACUUGAAGGUAUAAUAUAUCUAUUCAAUGUCGAGCCUCUGUCCCCCUCUUCCAAAAGUUUGCUUGAUCGCGCCCGCGCCAUGGCCGCCGAGCUCCUUUUUGCUCCACCCGCCAACCAGAUCGGCCGAUGAGGCGGAUUGCCUCGAGGCGGUGGACCAUGGAGGCAAGGAGGUCAUCCAUGGUGUGUGCAUCCCCGACAUUCGCUCAUAUUUUCCUCCUCCGCUUCACGGACGCCGGGGACUCGGGCAUGGCCGCCGCCACACCCCCGCUCCCGCUGACCUUGAACUGGCGGUUCUGUUUCAGUUUUGCGUUGUCUGAUUUUGGUUCCGACGAUUCUUGAGUAACCUGAAUUCACUUCUUCCAAGGGGUGACAGUCAGCUGCGUGACAUGAAUUUUGACACUGUAUGAGAGUCAUCCUUUGCAACAACUGAUAGCUAUAUUCUUGAUACUAAUCUAUUACUGUAUCAACAACAUGAAUGGAUCAAAUCAAAAUCUUCUUUCAAGAGUAAAUGGUGCUUCUGUUGCAUCUUGUGAAAACAACAAUUACAGUAUUGAUAAAGAAACCAACUCAUCUGAGAUUAAAUCAGCAAAUAAGAUACUUACGCCACUUCCGGCAAAUCGUUUUCCGAAACUGAAUCAAGUGAGAUCAAUACUGAGUACAAGAAGAAAAGAAUUCCAUCGGUUUCUACAUCAUUACUACUUUUACUGGGUGUGAAAGCGGCAAGUGUUCCUUCAUGCCAUUUUUUUUGCUUCCCAUAUUGUGGACUACUUUAUUUCAGCACAAACAUUAGUUAUUAACAUCAACUUUUCCCAUGUAUUUUAAAACUAAUUGAUUUCCCUUCAUCAAAAGCGGACAAUUGAGGGCUCUUCUAUUAUCAAGCUGCUCAUGUUUUGUGCCAAGAGUUGCAAGUUAACUUAUUAAUAAUUGGAUACGGGCAUAUCUUAGAUUUUGAGAUUGGACAAAAUACUGAAUCAAAUGGUAACUAGAGGAAAACAAUUGCUCCAGAUACAUCAUUUUUUUCUUCACCUCAUCUGGUCUUUCUCUGAGAUGGCGUUGUCAAGAUUACUCUUGCGCUGUUUUUCUAGAUCUUGCUAUUUCUCUGCUUCUAUGCAUGAACCUAAACAUGUCCAGUAUUUUGCAUGCCUUUGCUUGCUACACUAAUAUGCAGGUUUUGUGAAAUGAUGAACAAGACCUCUUAUUUUCAAAGUAUAUGCUAGAGAGUACUCAUUGAAUUUAUAAAGAUGAAGUGUUUGUAAAAUUGCUUAAUAUCUUAUGUCUUGCUUGUGCAGUUGAGGAUGGUUCGGAGGGCACCAGGAGAGAGAUUGUAUCAUAUUUCCUGUCAGCUGUGCUCUGGAUCUUCUCCUAUUCAUAUAAAUAACAACACAUUCCUAUGAAGGAAUUCAUAUAGCUUACAUUUCAUUGCAUCUCCUAUGUCAUUUUUAAUUGGUUAUAUGCAUGUGUUGUUGCAGAAUUGUUUCUAAGACAGGCCGGUUACUAUAAUUAAUUGAAGCAGAG